CUACGGGGUGCUGCAGUGGGGAAUAUUGCACAAUGGGCGCAAGCCUGAUGCAGCAACGCCGCGUGAGGGAUGAAGGCCUUCGGGUUGUAAACCUCUUUUAGCAGGGAAGAAGCGAAAGUGACGGUACCUGCAGAAAAAGCACCGGCUAACUACGUGCCAGCAGCCGCGGUAAUACGUAGGGUGCAAGCGUUGUCCGGAAUUAUUGGGCGUAAAGAGCUCGUAGGCGGUUUGUCACGUCUGCUGUGAAAAUCCAAGGCUUAACCUUGGACUUGCAGUGGGUACGGGCAGGCUAGAGUGCGGUAGGGGAGAUGGGAAUUCCUGGUGUAGCGGUGGAAUGCGCAGAUAUCAGGAGGAACACCAAUGGCGAAGGCACAUCUCUGGGCCGUAACUGACGCUGAGGAGCGAAAGCGUGGGGAGCGAACAGGAUUAGAUACCCCGGUAGUC
Molecule: ribosomal RNA, 444 nt
Filed under: uncultured bacterium
Lineage: Bacteria
Description: partial 16S ribosomal RNA
Rfam family: Bacterial small subunit ribosomal RNA
Source: RNAcentral